Molecule: ribosomal RNA, 328 nt
Filed under: uncultured eukaryote
Lineage: Eukaryota
Description: partial 18S ribosomal RNA
Rfam family: Eukaryotic small subunit ribosomal RNA
Source: RNAcentral
CCCUUAGAUGUUCUGGGCCGCACGCGCGCUACACUGACUACUUCAACGAGUUGUUUCCUUGAUCGAAAGGUCUGGGUAAUCUUUGAAAGGUAGUCGUGAUGGGGAUAGAUCCUUGCAAUUUUUGAUCUUCAACGAGGAAUUCCUAGUAAACGCAAGUCAUCAGCUUGCAUUGAUUACGUCCCUGCCCUUUGUACACACCGCCCGUCGCACCUACCGAUUGAAUGGUCCGGUGAAUCUUUAGGACUGUGGCUGAGGCCUUACCUUGUGCGGGUCUGGCCGUGGGAAUUUAGUUAAACCUUACCAUUUAGAGGAAGGUGAAGUCGUAACA